CAGGAGAAGACCCCCUAGCAACAGCCGGAUCAUGCGCAGACGAACGGUAUAAAAGAGCGGAAGCAAGGGGGUGUUACAGCAUCAACAAAAGAAUAGCCGAAGACCCCAAUAACAACAAAUGAGACAUGCGCAGAGUACCCUGGAAAUACCACGGCAGUCAUUUGGAACCACAUAAAAGAACGGCCCCAAUCUUCGGGUGGCGCGGCAGUUGGCAGGACGGAGAUCCCCCUGUCGCCCAGCACUGCAUUGCCUCUUUGUUCUUUGCUCAUUAUAAUUAAUAAAUUCAACAAUUGACUCCUUAA
This is a long non-coding RNA of Centrocercus urophasianus (Greater sage-grouse), 302 nucleotides long. RefSeq lists it as uncharacterized. NCBI's taxonomy places the organism in Eukaryota, Metazoa, Chordata, Aves, Galliformes, Phasianidae. The record is from RefSeq and is a predicted model, not a curated record. The transcript is spliced from 2 exons.